Clupea harengus (Atlantic herring) is the source of this 830-nucleotide long non-coding RNA. The record is from Ensembl. NCBI's taxonomy places the organism in Eukaryota, Metazoa, Chordata, Actinopteri, Clupeiformes, Clupeidae.
CUUGAGACUGAUAACUUUCGAGACGGGUUACCGUAAGUCGUCGGUCAGACCAUUACCUCGAGCACCUGGCUCUCCACCAGCUCUUGGUGCAACCUCAAUCUGCUGUGUUUUAACACAGUACACAACAUCAGUGCUCUUUCUGGCAGGGGCUACGCAGCAGGUUCUGGAAGCUUACUUGUGGUGGUUGUGAAGAGAACCGGAUGAUAUUCGAGCUGGCAGCCUUUGAAGCACGCUGGGCUGGGGAGCAAAUGAAAGCUUGGUCCCUUUGUCUGGCUGGAGAAGUCCCUGCUCUUUGGUUCUCAAGGGAACUGCCAGAACCUGCGUGCCUGAGAAGCAGAGCAAUUUCAACACCUUCCCCAGGAAAGAAUUUCAGAUCAAGGCAGGCGGAAACUCCGACGUCUGCGUCUGUCGAGACGGUCCUAUGAUGACGUGUGUCACUUGACAAAUUCCAGCGUGUUCGGAAUCCUGUCCCCAGGGCAGACACAACAACAACAGGAAGAGAGGCCAUUUUCACAGGUGUCAGGAAAGACAGGAAAUAAACAAGCUGGAUGCUGGAAAACAAGCGAGUCCACACAGCUCAGAGAGGUGAGGGCCAAAACAGCUAUUUUUAAUACUGAGGGGUAUUUUCAGAGGAGUCUCAAUGAAGGUAUGCCUGUUCUGGGACCAAACGGGUUACUGGAAGGGACACUGGGCUGGAAAAAGCUUAGACGCCCACCUCCCCAAUUUCCCACCAACCCAAACACCCACACACGUAAACUCUCUCUCACACACAUACACAUACACACACACACACAUGCACACCAACACCACCACCACCCAGACAUCCAAAU